CGCGUUAAUAGCGGCGUUGUUUGACGUUAGCGACAGAAGAAGCACCGGCUAACUCCGUGCCAGCAGCCGCGGUAAUACGGAGGUGCGAGCGUUAAUCGGAAUUACUGGGCGUAAAGCGCAUGCAGGUGGUUUGUUAAGUCAGAUGUGGAAGACCCGGGGCGUCAACCUCGGAAUUGCAUUUGUAAACUAGGCAGACUAGAGUACUGUAGAGGGGGGUAGGAAUUUCAGGUGUAGCGGUGAAAUGCGUAGAGAUCUGAAGGAAUACCGGUGGCGAAGGCGGCCCCCUCGGACAGAUACUGACACUCAGAUGCGAAAGCGUGGGGAGCAAACAGGAUUAGAUACCCUGGUAG
RNAcentral lists this ribosomal RNA (350 nucleotides) under uncultured bacterium. RNAcentral describes it as "bacterial SSU rRNA". It matches the Rfam family "Bacterial small subunit ribosomal RNA", at positions 441 to 793 of the family's 1533-position model. The record is from RNAcentral.